RNAcentral lists this ribosomal RNA (501 nucleotides) under uncultured bacterium. Its description in RNAcentral is "partial 16S ribosomal RNA". It matches the Rfam family "Bacterial small subunit ribosomal RNA", at positions 29 to 507 of the family's 1533-position model. The record is from RNAcentral.
ACGAACGCUGGCGGCGUGCUUAACACAUGCAAGUCGAACGGUGAAGGGGUCUGCUUUUGUGGGCCCUGGAUGAGUGGCGAACGGGUGAGUAACACGUGAGUAACCUGCCCCCUUCUUCUGGAUAACCGCAUGAAAGUGUGGCUAAUACGGGAUAUUCUGGGUCUGUCGCAUGAUGGGUCUGGGAAAGAUUGCGCCUUUGGGUGUUUUUGGUGGGGGAUGGGCUCGCGGCCUAUCAGCUUGUUGGUGGGGUGAUGGCCUACCAAGGCGGUGACGGGUAGCCGGCCUGAGAGGGUGGACGGUCACACUGGGACUGAGACACGGCCCAGACUCCUACGGGAGGCAGCAGUGGGGAAUAUUGCACAAGGGGCGCAAGCCUGAUGCAGCGACGCCGCGUGAGGGAUGGAGGCCUUCGGGUUGUAAACCUCUUUCGCCAGUGAAGCAGGCCUGCUCCUUGUGGGUGGGUUGACGGUAGCUGGAGAAGAAGCGCCGGCUAACUACGUG